GUGCAUGGUUGUCGUCAGCUCGUGUCGUGAGAUGUUGGGUUAAGUCCCGCAACGAGCGCAACCCUUAUCCUUAGUAGCCAGCAUGUAGAGGUGGGCACUCUAGGGAGACUGCCAGGGAUAACCUGGAGGAAGGCGGGGAUGACGUCAAAUCAUCAUGCCCCUUAUGAUUUGGGCUACACACGUGCUACAAUGGCGUAAACAAAGGGAGGCGAAGGAGCGAUCCGGAGCGAACCCCAAAAAUAACGUCUCAGUUCGGAUUGUAGUCUGCAACCCGACUACAUGAAGCUGGAAUCGCUAGUAAUCGCGGAUCAGAAUGCCGCGGUGAAUACGUUCCCGGGUCUUGUACACACCGCCCGUCACACCAUGGGAGUCGAUAACGCCCGAAGUCAGUGACCCAACCGAGAGGAGGGAGCUGCCGAAGGCGGGAUUGAUAACUGGGGUGAAGUCGUAACAAGGUAGCCGUAUCGGAAGGUGCGGCUGGAUCACCUC
This 489-nucleotide ribosomal RNA is filed under the name uncultured bacterium. RNAcentral's name for it is "bacterial SSU rRNA". It matches the Rfam family "Bacterial small subunit ribosomal RNA", at positions 1041 to 1529 of the family's 1533-position model. The record is from RNAcentral.